RNAcentral lists this long non-coding RNA (495 nucleotides) under Phascolarctos cinereus (koala). Its description in RNAcentral is "lncRNA (ENSPCIG00000033734.1)". The record is from RNAcentral. Lineage: Eukaryota; Metazoa; Chordata; Mammalia; Diprotodontia; Phascolarctidae.
UGUGACCCUUAAUUUUCCCUGAUUCCUUUUCUAGGAAGCACAAAACAUUUGUUGAGAGCCCUCUUCCUCCUAAUACAAGCGGCUUCUCAGAUGGCUUUUCGUUUCAUGCCUCCUGGUGGUGCAGUUUGGGAGGUGGUACUUGGGGAUUUGGGAAUUCUAAGAUUCAGCCAGGUGGAUGCUGGGAAUAUUGUUCAUCUGUUGGGUUCAGACAUUGGGAUGCUGGUCAUAUCUCUUGUCAUCAUAAAGUUGAGCCAAAAGCUGGUGAUGCCCCUUGUUCCUGAGUCAACUUCACCCUCCCACAGCAAUGAGAGGGAAGAGGAGACAGAGGUGGAGCAAGAGGCAGGAGAUGAAAUCAAUCUGGAUAUUGAUGACAGUAAUUCUGACAGUAGCACUUACUCUGAGGAAAGUGUUUCUGAAGCAAAGACCAAGGGGAAGAUGACAGAAUUCUUGGGCAAAAUCACUACCAUCACCACCCACUUGCAAACAAUACUGGAC